GGAUGGUGUGCGAGUCGGAGUGCAGGAGAGCGCAGUGGUGAUUGUGAAGGACUUUUUGGCGGAUAAAUUUCGUAUCGUCAGCAUUGAAAGGAUUGAGUCUCCUCUAUGUUUCAAGGACCAGUAGCAGUAGACACAUUGUCAUCACAUCUUACUCUCUCCAAGCCUUGAUUCGCUUUUAUGUUGGCCGCAUCAACCUGGUUAAAGAAAAUCUAAUGAAACUGCUACCUUGUGGGUGUCUUUCUAACAUCAGAUGAGCCAGAUACGUCUAGACCACAGGCAAGGAUGUUGGAUUCAGUGAAGGGUCCACCAACACCUGUCCUUUGCGUACAUCAUGCACCUUUAUCUUCUUGAGGGCAAAGGAGGCUGUCUGUCCACCACGCACCUCCCGCACUGGCAUACGCUUACGGUGGAUGGACUUGAUGGGCAUUGGGAUGAAGUCACCAAGCCCAUUAGGACCAAGGAGCAACGUGUCAUUAACUCGGAUGACUCCUUUCAAGCAGUAAUCGCCCGCCUAUCCAGAUUGCCACUAUCCAGAAUACGUUAUUAUCCGGAGUUGCUCACACCAUCUCCAUGCACCCCUACACCACAGCCCAGACAGGACAUCAGCAUGGUGGCCAACUUCAGUGGUGAGGAAGAGCUGUAGGCUGCCUUCUCCCUACUCCCUACUCACCCAACCACUUCCUACUGUGUGUACGUAUGUCCCACCACCACUUGCUGCUGUGUGUACGCCCCACCAACCCUUGCACUGUUUAUGUACCAUUUUUUGUUCCAGAUUAUACAUUUAAUGUGCUUUCA
Molecule: long non-coding RNA, 795 nt
Organism: Portunus trituberculatus (swimming crab)
Lineage: Eukaryota; Metazoa; Arthropoda; Malacostraca; Decapoda; Portunidae
Exons: 7
Source: RefSeq, a predicted model, not a curated record